Molecule: ribosomal RNA, 245 nt
Filed under: uncultured bacterium
Lineage: Bacteria
Description: partial 16S ribosomal RNA
Rfam family: Bacterial small subunit ribosomal RNA
Source: RNAcentral
AGUAACGCGUGGGCAACCUGCCUUAUACAGGGGGAUAACAGCUGGAAACAGCUGCUAAUACCGCAUAAGCGCACAGCGCUGCAUGGUACAGUGUGAAAAACUGAGGUGGUAUAAGAUGGGCCCGCGUCUGAUUAGCUGGUUGGGAGGGUAACGGCCUACCAAGGCGACGAUCAGUAGCCGGCCUGAGAGGGCGGACGGCCACAUUGGGACUGAGACACGGCCCAGACUCCUACGGAAGGCAGCAG